Molecule: long non-coding RNA, 484 nt
Organism: Carassius auratus (goldfish)
Lineage: Eukaryota; Metazoa; Chordata; Actinopteri; Cypriniformes; Cyprinidae
Exons: 4
Source: RefSeq, a predicted model, not a curated record
GUUCCUGGAUUCUUCAGUGAUGAUGAGCAGAGUCUGAGUGAACCUGCUGUCAGACAGGUAGGGUCUAUUAGCCGAUGGCUGAUAGACAUCACGAUGCUGCGCCGGAAACAGCGUCAUCAGCUCCAGUAUCUCGCCCGUGCAUCUGUUGUCAUGCGACAGAGAAGUCACGUUCUAUAGACAGUUUCUAUAGACAGUUGUGAACGUGCUGACAGCUGGUUGCCCAGGCUAUGGAUUAAAGGUAAUACUGUUGGCCAGCAGAGCCCUGCUCACCCUGACGGCCCACCGCUGCUGUCAGACAACAUCUCCAAGAUGCUAUAAACUGCAGGACCAGAUGGCCAUCCCAAGGUUUCUAGAGAUUACACCAGCUCCAGACUGAAUCCAAACUUACUUGUGAAGACUUCAGAUGACACCAACGCUCACAAAGACUACAGACGACAACUGUACAUGAACACACAAAACAUUGGACACACAAAACAAAUAUUAU